Molecule: non-coding RNA, 99 nt
Organism: Paramuricea clavata
Lineage: Eukaryota; Metazoa; Cnidaria; Anthozoa; Malacalcyonacea; Plexauridae
Source: the annotation of a GenBank genome assembly
AGUCUCUGAUUGGCGAUUAGUAGCAAAGAAGAACCAAUCCAUUUGCUCAGAGUAUUUGAUUGGUUCUUCUUUGCUACUAGUAGCCAAUCAGAGACUUUG